Molecule: ribosomal RNA, 460 nt
Filed under: uncultured bacterium
Lineage: Bacteria
Description: partial 16S ribosomal RNA
Rfam family: Bacterial small subunit ribosomal RNA
Source: RNAcentral
CCUACGGGAGGCAGCAGUGAGGAAUAUUGGUCAAUGGACGAGAGUCUGAACCAGCCAAGUAGCGUGAAGGCUGACUGCCCUAUGGGUUGUAAACUUCUUUUAUAUGGGAAUAAAAUGUUCCACGUGUGGGAUUUUGUAUGUACCAUAUGAAUAAGGAUCGGCUAACUCCGUGCCAGCAGCCGCGGUAAUACGGAGGAUCCGAGCGUUAUACGGAUUUAGUGGGUUUAAAGGGAGCGUAGGUGGAUUGUUAAGUCAGUUGUGAAAGUUUGCGGCUCAACCGUAAAAUUGCAGUUGAAACUGGCAGUCUUGAGGACAGUAGAGGUGGGCGGAAUGCGGGGUGUAGCGGUGAAAUGCUGAGAUAUCACGAAGAACUCCGAUUGCGAAGGCAGCUCACUGGACUGCAACUGACACUGAGGCUCGAAAGUGUGGGUAUCAAACAGGAUUAGAUACCCCUGUAGUC